GCAUUAAUGAGGUAGUGGUAACCUGGGUCGUUGCCAUUCAAUAGGUCUAUCGGUUGUAUCGACCCGCCGGGGGUUCGAUUCCCUCUUAAUGCA
Non-coding RNA from Paramarasmius palmivorus, 93 nucleotides. NCBI's taxonomy places the organism in Eukaryota, Fungi, Basidiomycota, Agaricomycetes, Agaricales, Marasmiaceae. The record is from the annotation of a GenBank genome assembly.